UGGCUUGGCUUCCCAGGGUGUGGACUUGGCCCACCCCUCCUCCUUCCCCUGGAGUAGAGGAGCCAGGAGCCCUCCCCUGUGGGUGGGGUGUUUCCAUAAAAAGCCUCACUGGGGCUGUCCUAGCCGCCAGCA
RNAcentral lists this small nucleolar RNA (132 nucleotides) under Tupaia belangeri (northern tree shrew). RNAcentral describes it as "Small Cajal body specific RNA 21 (ENSTBEG00000021114.1)". Lineage: Eukaryota; Metazoa; Chordata; Mammalia; Scandentia; Tupaiidae. The record is from RNAcentral.